CCUUCUGCGCUCGAGAGCUGGAACCUCAAAUAAGAAGAAUCUCGGUGAGGAGAAGGAGAAUGUGGUUGGUGUAGAGCAGACGUCAUCGUAGAAACCCGGCGGGCAGAGACAGAAGAAAGUCAUGCAGAUUUGGACCAACAUGAAGAUGAGCAAAUGAUGACCAAAUUUUCUGGUACCUGUAUAUCCAGGUUGGCACUUGCAGACGUAACCUGCUGCGUUGUCGUAGCUGAACGUCCAGUCUGUUUUCCAGUUCUCAGGUUUAGACUUCUCAAAACAUUCACCGCCGUUCUCACAAGGAGUAUCAGCGCAUUCAUCUACAUCCACCUCACAGUUAACACCUUCAAAACCUGCAAACACACAUACACAUCAGUAUCAGUACAAACCAACGUACA
This is a long non-coding RNA of Triplophysa rosa, 392 nucleotides long. RefSeq lists it as uncharacterized. The transcript is spliced from 3 exons. Lineage: Eukaryota; Metazoa; Chordata; Actinopteri; Cypriniformes; Nemacheilidae. The record is from RefSeq and is a predicted model, not a curated record.